Molecule: ribosomal RNA, 481 nt
Filed under: uncultured bacterium
Lineage: Bacteria
Description: partial 16S ribosomal RNA
Rfam family: Bacterial small subunit ribosomal RNA
Source: RNAcentral
AUUGAACGCUGGCGGCAUGCCUUACACAUGCAAGUCGAACGGUAACGGGCCUUCGGGUGCCGACGAGUGGCGAACGGGUGAGUAAUACAUCGGAACGUGCCCGAUCGUGGGGGAUAACGAGGCGAAAGCUUUGCUAAUACCGCAUACGAUCUACGGAUGAAAGCAGGGGACCGCAAGGCCUUGCGCGGACGGAGCGGCCGAUGGCAGAUUAGGUAGUUGGUGGGAUAAAAGCUUACCAAGCCGACGAUCUGUAGCUGGGCGGAGAGGAUGAUCAGCCACACUGGAACUGAGACACGGCCCAGACUCCUACGGGAGGCAGCAGUGGGGAAUUUUGGACAAUGGGCGAAAGCCUGAUCCAGCAUGCCGCGUGCAGGAUGAAGGCCUUCGGGUUGUAAACUGCUUUUGUACGGAACGAAAAGCCUUCUUUUAAUACAGGAGGGUCAUGACGGUACCGUAAGAAUAAGCACCGGCUAACUACGUG